This 151-nucleotide ribosomal RNA is filed under the name Cooperia oncophora. RNAcentral's name for it is "partial small subunit ribosomal RNA". Lineage: Eukaryota; Metazoa; Nematoda; Chromadorea; Rhabditida; Trichostrongylidae. The record is from RNAcentral.
UUAAAUUUAUACUUUAUUUUUGGUAAAUUACAAUUUUAGUAAAUAAAAAUUUAUAUAAUUUUAGGUAAAAUUUUAAUUAUUUAAUGAGUAAAGUUGUACUUUAAAGUUUUGGUAAUCAAAUUAGAUUAGUACCUAAGUAGUCAAAUUUAAA